This 350-nucleotide ribosomal RNA is filed under the name uncultured Leptolinea sp. RNAcentral describes it as "bacterial SSU rRNA". It matches the Rfam family "Bacterial small subunit ribosomal RNA", at positions 1017 to 1382 of the family's 1533-position model. The record is from RNAcentral. Lineage: Bacteria; Bacillati; Chloroflexota; Anaerolineae; Anaerolineales; Anaerolineaceae.
CCUUCGGGAGCUUGCACAGGUGCUGCAUGGCUGUCGUCAGCUCGUGUCGUGAGAUGUUCGGUUAAGUCCGCUAACGAGCGCAACCCUCGCUGUGUGUUAUAUGUGUCACACGGGACGUGCCGGUCUUAAGCCGGAGGAAGGUGGGGAUGAUGUCAAGUCAGCAUGGCCUUUAUAUCCUGGGCUACACACACGCUACAAUGGCCAACACAAUAGGUUGCUAAGCCGCGAGGUGGCGCCAAUCCAUAAAGUUGGUCUCAGUUCAGAUUGUAGGCUGCAACCCGCCUGCAUGAGGAUGGAGUUGCUAGUAACCGCAGGUCAGCUAUACUGCGGUGAAUACGUUCCCGGGGCUU